AUGUCGCCCGUUACUUUGAACUUAUUCGUCACAGCUGCAGCUGUUUUAAUUGGGCAUUGCGGAGGAGAUUCUGUUUCACAGACACCGGGUGCAGUCACUGUCAGUGAAGGAGAUGAUGUUCAGCUGCUCUGCAAUUACACAGCUACAAGCAGCAGCAAUCCUUAUCUGUUCUGGUAUCGUCAGUAUACCAGCGGAUCCAUUAAGUAUCUGCUGAAGAGAAACAGACACAUCGAUAACACAGAGAGAUUCCCAGGAGACCGUUUUUCAGCGGAGCUCAAUGAUUCGGAUCGCACCGUUCCGCUGAAAGUGUCUAAAACAGAAUUGUCGGACUCUGCGGUGUAUUACUGCGCGCUGAGCCCCACAGAGACACAGAGCAGGGCUGAACCUGUACAAAAACUGUCAGAGCGACACUCAACAUUACAGAGCGAGACGCAAAUAUUGCGAUCGAGUUGA
Molecule: non-coding RNA, 453 nt
Organism: Carcharodon carcharias (great white shark)
Lineage: Eukaryota; Metazoa; Chordata; Chondrichthyes; Lamniformes; Lamnidae
Source: the annotation of a RefSeq genome assembly